GCGGCAGUAGCUCAGUGGUGGAGCCCCCGCUUCGCAUGCGGGAAGACCUGGGUUCGAUUCCCGACUGCUUCC
Transfer RNA from Toxocara canis (dog roundworm), 72 nucleotides. It matches the Rfam family "tRNA". Rfam says of the family: Transfer RNA (tRNA) molecules are approximately 80 nucleotides in length. The record is from Rfam. Lineage: Eukaryota; Metazoa; Nematoda; Chromadorea; Rhabditida; Toxocaridae.